RNAcentral lists this ribosomal RNA (564 nucleotides) under Vulpes vulpes (red fox). RNAcentral's name for it is "partial 16S ribosomal RNA". The record is from RNAcentral. Lineage: Eukaryota; Metazoa; Chordata; Mammalia; Carnivora; Canidae.
GUUACCCACAAACAGAAUUUUAGUUCAACUUUAAAUUUACCUAAAAAAAAACGAAAUUUUAAUGUAAAUUUAAAAUAUAAUCUAAAAAGGUACAGCUUUUUAGAGCAAGGACACAACCUUUAUUAGAGAGUAAAUAUUAACAUAACCAUAGUUGGCCUAAAAGCAGCCAUCAAUUGAGAAAGCGUUCAAGCUCAACAAACAAUGCAACUUAAUCCCAACCAUAUUGCAUCAACUCCUAAUUCACCUCCUGGGUUAUUCUAUUUAAGUAUAGAAGCAAUAAUGCUAGUAUGAGUAACAAGAAUUAUUUCUCCCCGCAUAAGCUUAUAUCAGAAACGGAUAGACCACUGAUAGUUAACAACCUGAUAAAACCAACCCAAAAAUAAAACACUUAUCUACCCCAUUGUUAACCCAACACAGGUAUGCACUCAAGGAAAGAUUAAAAGAAGUAAAAGGAACUCGGCAAACAUAAACCCCGCCUGUUUACCAAAAACAUCACCUCCAGCAUUACCAGUAUUGGAGGCACUGCCUGCCCAGUGACAUCCGUUAAACGGCCGCGGUAUCCUG